AGGUACCCAAACUAUGUUAGGUCCUUUAGGUUAGAACUUGAUGUUCAUUUUUGGAACCCAAAUUUUCUUGGAUUUUAGCUUACUCUUAUCACUCAAUUUGUUAUAGCUAAACUUUCUAAAAUUGCAUUCAUAUGCUUUGUGUCCUAUUUUAUUGCAGCAAUGACAAGUUAUAUUUUCAGUUUUGUUUUUCACAAAUAUAUUCUUUAAGUAUUUUUUGCUUCCUAUUUGUUUUAUAUCCCAACCCAGCUUUAUCAUAUACAACUUUUUGACUAUCAAGAAUCAUAUUUAAUUUAGUUGAGCUAAGUGUAAACUUGUCCACUAAGAAUUUGCAUUUUUUUGCAUCUUCUUUUAGCUUGACAUUUUCAGCAAUUAGACUUUUGGUUUCAUUAGUGAACCUCCUACUUAAUGUUUCAUAGUCAUUAGAUAGUUUCAGCUUUUCUUUGAUAAAAGAUUGAUUUUCAUCUUUUAGAAUUUUAUUUUUAUUGAUUAGCUUCUUGUGUUCUUCCAUGAGUUCUAAAAAUGCAUCAUGUAACUCUUUUACUGUAAAAUCAUAUUCAAGUUCAGAAUCUACCUCAUC
RNAcentral lists this long non-coding RNA (577 nucleotides) under Phoenix dactylifera (date palm). Its description in RNAcentral is "long non-coding RNA (PDAC_LNC011305)". The record is from RNAcentral. Lineage: Eukaryota; Viridiplantae; Streptophyta; Magnoliopsida; Arecales; Arecaceae.